UGGGGAAUCUUGCGCAAUGGGCGAAAGCCUGACGCAGCGACGCCGCGUGGGUGAUGAAGGCCUUCGGGUUGUAAAGCCCUGUGGGGAGGGACGAAUGAGUGCCGGUUAAUACCCGGCAUGAUGACGGUACCUCUUUAGCAAGCACCGGCUAACUCUGUGCCAGCAGCCGCGGUAAGACAGAGGGUGCAAACGUUGUUCGGAAUUACUGGGCGUGAAGCGCGUGUAGGCGGCCAUGUAAGUCGGAUGUGAAAGCCCUCGGCUCAACUGGGGAAGUGCACCCGAAACUGCGUGGCUAGAGUCUCGGAGAGGAUCGUGGAAUUCUCGGUGUAGAGGUGAAAUUCGUAGAUAUCGAGAGGAACACCGGUGGCGAAGGCGGCGAUCUGGACGGUGACUGACGCUGAGACGCGAAAGCGUGGGGAGCAAACAGG
This 428-nucleotide ribosomal RNA is filed under the name uncultured bacterium. Its description in RNAcentral is "bacterial SSU rRNA". It matches the Rfam family "Bacterial small subunit ribosomal RNA", at positions 355 to 776 of the family's 1533-position model. The record is from RNAcentral.